Molecule: ribosomal RNA, 254 nt
Filed under: uncultured bacterium
Lineage: Bacteria
Description: partial 16S ribosomal RNA
Rfam family: Bacterial small subunit ribosomal RNA
Source: RNAcentral
UACAGAGGAGCCAAGCGUUGUCCGGAUUGACUGGGCGUAAAGCGCACGCAGGCGGGGGUGCGCGUGGGGUGUGAAAUCUGGCCGCUUAACGGCCAGGCGCCAUCCCAUACGGCACGCCUGGAGCCUUGCAGAGGUCGGUGGAAUUGCCGGUGUAGUGGUGAAAUGCGUAGAGAUCGGCAGGAACACCCAGGGGGAAACCAGCCGACUGGGCAAGUGCUGACGCUGAGGUGCGAGAGCGUGGGGGAGCGAACCGG